This 267-nucleotide ribosomal RNA is filed under the name Triticum aestivum (bread wheat). RNAcentral describes it as "partial small subunit ribosomal RNA". Lineage: Eukaryota; Viridiplantae; Streptophyta; Magnoliopsida; Poales; Poaceae. The record is from RNAcentral.
AUGGUCCAUGAAGGUGGAGCCGACUUGUCGCUGUCACUCAUGACAUUUGAAAUGUCAGACUUACAUUGGUACAUUACAGAUAGAAAGAAAAACACAGAUAGUAGUACUAGCUGGUACUGUGAAAGCCACUCCUAUCUUAUCAUACUUGCAGUGACCGAGACAUCACCACUGAGAUGUAGGAAGGAUCAAUGGAAGGAGACGGAUGGCAACAGCAAGGGAGGGUCAGGGCGUGCUUCGGAUUCACUUAUGCCCGCGAUUAGCAGAUGA